UACGGAGGGUGCAAACGUUGCUCGGAAUUAUUGGGCGUAAAGCGCACGUAGGCGGUUCGCUAUGUCGGAUGUGAAAGCCCGCGGCUUAACCGCGGAAGGGCAUCCGAAACUGGCGGGCUUGAGUACGGAAGAGGGUCUCGGAAUUCCCGGUGUAGAGGUGAAAUUCGUAGAUAUCGGGAGGAACACCAGUGGCGAAGGCGGAGACCUGGGCCGAUACUGACGCUGAGGUGCGAAAGCGUGGGGAG
RNAcentral lists this ribosomal RNA (245 nucleotides) under uncultured bacterium. RNAcentral describes it as "partial 16S ribosomal RNA". It matches the Rfam family "Bacterial small subunit ribosomal RNA", at positions 524 to 768 of the family's 1533-position model. The record is from RNAcentral.